RNAcentral lists this ribosomal RNA (198 nucleotides) under uncultured bacterium. Its description in RNAcentral is "partial 16S ribosomal RNA". It matches the Rfam family "Bacterial small subunit ribosomal RNA", at positions 326 to 539 of the family's 1533-position model. The record is from RNAcentral.
ACGCUCGACACCUACGGGAAGCAGCAGUGGGGAAUAUUGCACAAUGGGGGAAACCCUGAUGCAGCGACGCCGCGUGAGUGAAGAAGUAAUUCGUCAUGUAAAGCUCUAUCAGCAGGGAAGAAAGUGACGGUACCUGAGUAAGAAGCCCCGGCUAACUACGUGCCAGCAGCCGCGGUAAUCUGAGCGGGCUGGCAAGGC